AGUGAAGUGCAAAAGUAAAGAAAGUUGUAAAGAAAGUUUCCACUCGUGAAUUGUUCGGAAACUUGUAAAAAUCGGAUGUCCAUUGCUAGCCCCUGGCUGGGUCACCCGCACCCACGCGCACGCACACGAUUUCACACUUUUUCGUUUAUACGCCACCACGGUCGUAGGAUGGCGUGCUCGCGCAAUCCAGCAGUGCUUCAGGGCGAAUUUUAAUUUUCACUAGCGGGGUGCCCUCCCUGUGUAUUGUCAUUAGAGAGAGGCCAACGACGGUCGGCAAGGGGGAAAAGUCAGGCCACGAAUUAUGGGCAGAGAAAGGGAACGCAGGAGGGAGAGAGACAUCCACGGUGUUAUUAGAUUUCUUGCAAAUUACUCGCGCGUCCCAUUAACGAGUCCCAUCUGUCUGGAUUACGAGGCGAGCGCGGCCUUGCUCCGCUCGCGUCCUCUCGUCCCUGCUCGGCGAUUUAAAGCGUUACUCUCUCGCCCUUUCCCUCCCCUCGUUCCCUUCUUCGUUCGUCCAGAACACGCGAAUUUUUCUUUCGCUUUCUGAAUGGGCCCACCAGCUCUGCAGAAUCGCGAACCUUCGAGAUUCACGUUCGUCCAAUUUAGUUCGAUAAACCUAUGAUCCGACUGUACACUGUACGUAAAUGAUAAAAAGAAAAGAGUAACGCGUAGCUAAAUAACGUUUGGAGUGUCCAAGUUGCGAACGACGGGAAUUAAGGCAGAUUCGCGCAGUGUGGCCACUCGCAAGGGCCACCCAGGUUCGAAGGUAUCGCGAUAUCGUAUCGAUCUUCCCCGUGGCCCUAAACACGACGGGAGAGAGAAAAAAAAAACAAGGCAAUUUCCGAAAGGAAACACGCGAAAUCGAUAGCCAGGCCGGGCUUCGCCUAUGGUCGUAGACUUUACGACUCGGUGCUGCGUGGAAAAGUCACGACCACGCGUGGAAACACCGACGAUGCGGGCGGUGGAAAGAAUUGGAAAAGUGGAAAUAGCCUCGGCGAAAUUGCUAAGUCGAAAUGGGCUUCCUGAAAACUUUCGCAGACGCCGCUGUCGUUGCCUCUUCGAUUUUAUCGGAUCGAGUCGAAUGGCCGCCUAACGUUGGCCGAUGAAUGCUGGGAGGAAUUUGAGGAAACGAAGGCCGAGCGAGUGGAAUGUACAGUCCAUAAACAAGUUUACACAAUGAUUAUUGAGGAAUGAUUAACACAGUUUACGAUAAGUAUAAUAUACAUUGCAUCUUACGGUGUCUUGUACCAGUGAUCUCGUAGAUCAGUUCACGGUUGUUUAUAGCGGCACUUUCUCUGGAGGUGCUCGAAGCACGACAUAAAACCAGGAAGAUUUCGUUGAGUUUACACCCUCGUCACGAGACAACCAUCGUAAAAUACGAAAUCAUCGACCGGGGCGAGAAUUAUACCUCCCGCGACCCUUUCGCUUUCAACGUUGAACCUACGAACGAGCCCUCCCCCGCGCAACGACGCGAGUGGACAGCGGCCACCCCUCGGCGAUACUCAAUUUCCAGCUCAAACAACCAACAGCCGCGGCGGGGGUAACGAAAGCCCUGUUUGUCGGGGAAGACGAAAUAAAAAAAAAGUAAUAAAAGAAAGAGGACUUAGCGAAGAACGUGUCAUCGUUCGACCAUCAAUACCACCUCCACCGAAAAUAAACACCGGCACCCGUGGACCCGUCCGGCUCGUCGCCGUGGCGAUGGGUGGUGGAAAGAGGGAAAAAAAUCCUUCCACCGAAAAACUUUCGCCUCCAGACAAGCGGAUGCAAAUGGGAUAGAGAGAGGCGAGGGGAGAGGGUGGCGAUGGGGUAGGCGGCGGUGUUGGCCGGCCAAGAGGUCGGCGAAAGAGGGGCUGGAAAGGAGGUGGAAAGAGGUGGAGCAGAGGAGCGAGCGAGGGUGGCAACGAGGAGGAAAAGGGACGACGCGGGAGGGUUGAUAUCGGCUAGAAGGCCUGCUCGGUCACGGGGUAGGAUGCGAGGGGGUUUCAAGGGUGGCCGACGGCCGCCUUUGGAUUUAUUGGGAUUCGAGUAACUCCAUGCGACGUUAUCGUGCGCCGUUCCUCCGAGUCAACCGUGGUCGCCACUGACCUCUUCAAGUUCCACCGAAACACGCUGCGAACCCCACGCUCUUCGAAACGUUGAAAUUGUUGCGAGAUACGCAUCGCGGGAAGAAACACAGAAUGAUUGAGAUCCAAGGAGGGCGAUAAAAUAACGCUGGGGAAGGACGAGCAACUUUAUCGUUCUUAUGGCGUUAUCUUAUUAAGGAUGAGCUGGCGGGGUGCA
Hylaeus anthracinus is the source of this 2280-nucleotide long non-coding RNA. RefSeq lists it as uncharacterized. The record is from RefSeq and is a predicted model, not a curated record. The transcript has 5 exons. NCBI's taxonomy places the organism in Eukaryota, Metazoa, Arthropoda, Insecta, Hymenoptera, Colletidae.